RNAcentral lists this ribosomal RNA (549 nucleotides) under uncultured bacterium. RNAcentral's name for it is "bacterial SSU rRNA". It matches the Rfam family "Bacterial small subunit ribosomal RNA", at positions 356 to 896 of the family's 1533-position model. The record is from RNAcentral.
GGGGAAUCUUCCGCAAUGGACGAAAGUCUGACGGAGCAACGCCGCGUGAGUGAUGACGGCCUUCGGGUUGUAAAGCUCUGUUAAUCGGGACGAAAGGCCUUCUUGCGAAUAGUUAGGAGGAUUGACGGUACCGGAAUAGAAAGCCACGGCUAACUACGUGCCAGCAGCCGCGGUAAUACGUAGGUGGCAAGCGUUGUCCGGAAUUAUUGGGCGUAAAGCGCGCGCAGGCGGAUCAGUCAGUCUGUCUUAAAAGUUCGGGGCUUAACCCCGUGAUGGGAUGGAAACUGCUGAUCUAGAGUAUCGGAGAGGAAAGUGGAAUUCCUAGUGUAGCGGUGAAAUGCGUAGAUAUUAGGAAGAACACCAGUGGCGAAGGCGACUUUCUGGACGAAAACUGACGCUGAGGCGCGAAAGCCAGGGGAGCGAACGGGAUUAGAUACCCCGGUAGUCCUGGCCGUAAACGAUGGGUACUAGGUGUAGGAGGUAUCGACCCCUUCUGUGCCGGAGUUAACGCAAUAAGUACCCCGCCUGGGGAGUACGACCGCAAGGUUG